UACGUAGGGUGCAAGCGUUGUCCGGAAUUAUUGGGCGUAAAGCGCACGUAGGCGGCUUUGUAAGUUAGAGGUGAAAGCCCGGGGCUCAACUCCGGAAUUGCCUUUAAGACUGCAUCGCUAGAAUUGUGGAGAGGUAAGUGGAAUUCCGAGUGUAGAGGUGAAAUUCGUAGAUAUUCGGAAGAACACCAGUGGCGAAGGCGACUUACUGGACACAUAUUGACGCUGAGGUGCGAAAGCGUGGGGAGCAAACAGG
Molecule: ribosomal RNA, 253 nt
Filed under: uncultured bacterium
Lineage: Bacteria
Description: partial 16S ribosomal RNA
Rfam family: Bacterial small subunit ribosomal RNA
Source: RNAcentral